This 301-nucleotide ribosomal RNA is filed under the name uncultured bacterium. RNAcentral describes it as "partial 16S ribosomal RNA". It matches the Rfam family "Bacterial small subunit ribosomal RNA", at positions 509 to 807 of the family's 1533-position model. The record is from RNAcentral.
CAGCCGCCACGGGAAAACGGAGGGGGCUAGCGUUGUUCGGAAUUACUGGGCGUAAAGCGUGCGCAGGCGGUUGUGUAAGACAGGUGUGAAAUCCCCGGGCUCAACCUGGGAACUGCAUCUGUGACUGGCGAGCUAGAGUAUGGCAGAGGGGGGUAGAAUUCCACGUGUAGCAGUGAAAUGCGUAGAGAUGUGGAGGAAUACCGAUGGCGAAGGCAGCCCCCUGGGCCAAUACUGACGCUCAUGCACGAAAGCGUGGGGAGCAAACAGGAUUAGAGACCCCCGUAGUCCCUGUCUCUUAUAC